RNAcentral lists this ribosomal RNA (105 nucleotides) under Streptomyces bohaiensis. RNAcentral describes it as "partial 23S ribosomal RNA". It matches the Rfam family "Bacterial large subunit ribosomal RNA", at positions 2825 to 2925 of the family's 2925-position model. Lineage: Bacteria; Bacillati; Actinomycetota; Actinomycetes; Kitasatosporales; Streptomycetaceae. The record is from RNAcentral.
GGGGUAAGGCUCCCUGUAGACGACAGGGUUGAUAGGCCAGAUAUGGAAGCCCAGUAAUGGGUGGAGUUGACUGGUACUAAUAGGCCGAGGGCUUGUCCAGAGUUG